CCCCAACGCCUCGCGGUUCUGCUCCGGGUUCUACCCGUCCACCAGCCUAUUAAUAGGCAACAUAUUUACUUUUUGCAGCAUGCACUCGCUGUGGCAUUCUCCAGCAUCUUACCCUACAACAGGAGCGAACAAGUGCAGUUCUACAAGAGGAAGUCACCGCUGCGGCAGAGGUGUUGUGGCACCCAGGGGUGCCCGGCCCCCGUCUCCAUCUCCUACGGGUGGUCAUAUGUGGAUAUAUCUGGACCGUAUGCUAUAACAGACACCUGGGCCUAAAUUUAGUAACAGUGAAAAUGCAAUUAGUUCUGCAAAUACCAAGAAAUCUGCCAGCAUCAAAACCUGGAGGGAGAAGAGUCUAUUUAUGCCUCUGCUUUUGGCUGGCGCAGAGGUGAUCAGACUGUCUAAGAUGCAGCAGUAACAGCACCUGAGGCUCCGUCUGGGUGCCAAUGUCUUUGUCAAAACCCUCCUGCCCACCUUGUACCAGUCCUGUGUCCAACGACAAACACAUGUAAUAUGGGAAUUCAUCCAGUUCUGUACAGAAACUCUUAAGAGAUUGAAACAAGUACUUGUGCAUUUAGAACUACAGCCUAGCAAUUUCGAAAGUCUCAGCAUAAUGGAGUUUCAAAAUGACAGAGGCUUUUGAGGCCUAAAUUCUGAUGAUAACAAGCUGUGGCACAAAAAAGCACUAAUUGCUAUAUGAUUAAGCAGAAAAAAAGGUUACAGUGUUAAGGA
Long non-coding RNA from Sinocyclocheilus rhinocerous, 729 nucleotides. RefSeq lists it as uncharacterized. NCBI's taxonomy places the organism in Eukaryota, Metazoa, Chordata, Actinopteri, Cypriniformes, Cyprinidae. The transcript has 3 exons. The record is from RefSeq and is a predicted model, not a curated record.